Molecule: small RNA, 139 nt
Filed under: Arabidopsis thaliana (thale cress)
Lineage: Eukaryota; Viridiplantae; Streptophyta; Magnoliopsida; Brassicales; Brassicaceae
Description: ATSL178140
Source: RNAcentral
CAAAAGUUGCAUAGUUUUAGGAUAGACGAAAGCAAGUCUGUUAUAGAAAAUGUUGAUGAGUUUCAGAUGUACACCGCGGAGACAAUUCAUUUUUUAAAAUUAAUAUAUAUAAAACUUUGUAAAUUAUAUCUAAUUAUAU